UCUUGCGAAAUGUGCGGUUAAAAUUACUGUUCACUUUGACUUAAUGUUUAUCAAACUUUUAAGCCACACUAAAUAGGGUCUAAAUCUGUUGUUUAAAAAAAAUGGAUAAGCACGACAAUUCUACUACAAAUAUUCUAAGGCUAUGUUGAGCCCUAUUUUUUUGGAAAUAUAUUUUGUGCUUAAAAAGUUGAAAAAAGUUUUGGCUUUAUGUGCAAAAAAGGGAAACUUUCAGACACUUGAAUCAUGAUUUGUACAAACUUAGUUCCAAUGUGGAUUACUUUGCUUGUGAAAAUUUUGAUAUCUUUAUAAUGAAUUUAUCUGUACAAGCACUAGAAAAUCAUUGAAAUAAAAUUUCUAAUCAUAUUUUCGAUUGAUUUGUUGUUAGACAGUUAAUCCUAUUUAGACAGUUAAUCCUAUUUGUAAAUGUAGGUACAAUGAACAUUACCAAAUGGUCUGUAGAUUUGUGAUGUUGUCAUGAAAUCUGAUGGUCUUUGACCUAUAUGCCAAGCUUCUCGAAAAUAUCAUGAGGUAAAUCUUCAAUUAAGCUAAGCAUAAAUGUCUUAAUCGAUUUUCUGGGUGUCAAGUUGUAUUAGAGAUGAAAUCACAACUGACAUAAUAGGGAAAUCCUCAAGCUAUGUGGUAUUGAAUUAUAGUUUUAUGUUUUAUAUUAACAAUAAGAUUAACAAGCAUUCAUUCAUUUGGUAAAUUAAUUCUUUUCAAUUUUUUGAGUUUUUACUUCUCUGUACUUGCUUAUGAUCAAUGAUUUCGUCUAUGUAGUUAAUUUAGCCAAUAUGCCGUUAACAUUCAUUUUUCUUCAUAUAAAGAUAGGACAUAAAGUUGCAUUCAUUCCUGGGGGUAUGUUAGCGCAAUAGCUUCAUGCAUUACAACUUUUGCGACGAUAGCUUUGACAAGUAGUUUCUUUGUGAAGUGUUAUAGUUCAAGUAUGUCAAUCAUGAUGCUUACACAUUUACUAUGGUUAGGUCGUCAGUAAUCUGCUUCAUCAUUCUGCUAGAAUCAAGAAAUCUUAAUCUUCUAUUCUCAAGACUCUCUGAAGCAAUGUAAUAUUUAUUUUUUUCUAUACUUUAUCUGUUUCCCCGUUUGAAUUUUCACCGUUUCCAAUUGAUUAAAGUAUUUCCCUAUUUGUUUAUGUAGUGGGUUCACUUUCGUGAAUUUCCAGUUGUCACAUUAUUUUUUAAUGUAUUUAUCUUUUCUCUAUGUAUUUUUCUAUUUCCUAAUGGUUCUAAUUUGAAUGGCUAAAGUUGUAGGAGCAUGUGUUUAUAUUGCAUUUGAAGUUAAAAUAUACCAUUCCAUUCUAUUUAAACUUUCAUGCACAUUUCAAUUAUUUACAAACUUAUAUACUCCAAACUAAAUGUUCCAUUUUGGAUAUAUAAACAUUUGUAAUACUCCUACAGUAUAGAUAAAGUUGAAAUCACAAAGUGAUGUCGUGAAUACGUUGUAUUCUUUGAAAUACUAUUAUUAAUUUCAUUAUGCUUUAUUUACUUCUCAAUUGACGACAUUGGAACUCAUAAAUACCACCUACCAGUUUUUAAAAUAUAUUUGCAAAUAUUACAUCUUCAAUUUAUUGCAUUUCUUCUUUGUCUAUCACUUUCCCAACACUCUACUAAAUGAAAUGCUAAUUUGUUCAAAUAGAAUGCAAAAAUUAGAUUACUUUAAUUGGAAUUUGUUUAUUGUCACUUUAUGAAAUUUAACAAUUCAUUGAGUUCAGAGUUUAAAUUAUGAUUCUACAUUUGUUUUACUAAUUUCCCUAUUUUGCAAAUUACAAUGAUUGUCGGUGAGAAUCCAAAUGAGACAAGAUAGUAUGAUUUUCUUGCUUGUGACAAACAUCAUGUACACUUCCACAAGACAAAUCUUGCUGAAUUUUAGUUCAACCUUACGGUUCUCAUUUAGAUUCACAAUCGUCAAAUGUCUUCGUUUUUUGUAUUUUAUGUAUGAGAUUCGAAUUGCUUAUUGCUUUAGCGAAAUUUAGAACAAAUUUAUUUGAACUACAAAAUAAUGAAUAAUAAAAUGAUUGUCUACAUUAAAUUAUCAAAUACUUGAAUGAAAUAAUUUUUACGCUAACACAACUGGUCCACAAUAGAUUACUAUAGAUCUUUUUCAUUUUUAUAUACGUACAUUAGUUAAUUUAUUUUCCUUCAAAAAUAAUUCAAAGUUUUAUUUAUGUUUGCACUCCCUUAUCUAUGUCAUAUGUAUUCCAGUAUGUUCUCUUAAACUAUAUUAUGAAAAUCAUGAAAAAAAGGAAAAGAGAAUUCCUUCAUUUGCAAAAUCUGAUAUAUAUCUUCGUUAUUUCAUUAGUACAAUCACAUAUUAUAUUAAGAUAAUACUUCUUGAAUUAAAAAUAAUCUGUCCUUAUUCAUAUAAAAUUAGCUCUUACUUUAAAUUUUUGGUUUUCAUAAUAUCAUCCGAAAGUUUAAAUUAUUAUACAUUCUCUGUUCUUCCAAUUAGAUAACAAAUAGUUCGUACUUUGUUUCUUUACUUACAUUAAAUGAAACUAACAAAAAAUUUAUUCAUCUUCUGUAAAAAUUACUAAAAGAAAAAAGGGGCCAAAUGGGGACUUAGUUUCUUUCAUAAUUGUAUUAUGUAUAUUCUUGUUUUAAAUAUAUGUUUUUUGUUGAAUCUAACUACUUGUAAACAUUUGUGACUAAACAAUUUCUCUUCUUCAGGUUUUUUUAUCAUUUUCUUCAGCUCUUAUAGAAACUCGAAAUCAGAAUUUGUAAAUUAUAGUUAUAAAAUGCAAAUUAAACAUUAUAUUUUACCUAUUAAAUCUGUCAAAAUCUUGUGCUGACAAUCCAAUUAACUAAGACCCCAAUGUGUUUAAAUUAGAUUCUCAACACUAGAUUUUUGAAGGUUUACUACGUAGAACUUAAUGGUGAAUCUGCAUUUCAUGUAUCUUAUUUUCAUAUUCUGAUGGUUCACAUGUUCAAUGCAAUUGUUAGUCAGAAAUUCAUCUAACUUUUGCCAUUUUUCAUAGGUAAGUGAAUAUAUUAUUUAUAUCUUCCUUCUGAAGAGAAUUUGUUCCUAAGCAUAUUUCAAGUCGUUUAUCACUAAAUUUAUUUUACACUAUUUUACAUUUCGAUUUAACAAAUUUUUUUCUCUGUAGCGCUAUUUAGUUACAUGAUGCUUCUUCCUUAUAAUAUCUUUGUAUUCGUUAAAUAACUUGUAAAUUUUUGUUAAUCUUUUAACCACUCAUUUUCUUUUAAAACAGUUAUAUUAACUGUAUUUAAUUAUCUUCUCUGCAGAUUUCCACAAAAGUAUAUGGAUUUCGUUAUAUACCACCAAACUUCUUACAAUAAUACAAACACAACUCUGUAAAUUAAUGAACAAGCUAGCACACUCAGAUUCCACUUGUGUUUUGUGAAAAAUCAGUACAUUUAAACACAAGCUCAUUUCUUGUUCUCUUGUCCAUCAGAUGACAUUCAUAUUAUAGUAAACCUUCAAAUGAGAUAAAUCAACCCAUUCAUU
This 3480-nucleotide long non-coding RNA is filed under the name Olea europaea (common olive). RNAcentral's name for it is "long non-coding RNA (OEUR_LNC011415)". The record is from RNAcentral. Lineage: Eukaryota; Viridiplantae; Streptophyta; Magnoliopsida; Lamiales; Oleaceae.